Molecule: ribosomal RNA, 249 nt
Filed under: uncultured bacterium
Lineage: Bacteria
Description: partial 16S ribosomal RNA
Rfam family: Bacterial small subunit ribosomal RNA
Source: RNAcentral
AGUAACACGUGGGUAACCUGCCUUAUAGUGGGGGAGUAGCCUUUCGAAAGGAAGAUUAAUACCGCAUAAGAUUGUAGUAUCGCAUGAUAUAGCAAUUAAAGGAGCAAUUCGCUAUAAGAUGGACCCGCGUCGCAUUAGCUAGUUGGUGAGGUAAUGGUUCACCAAGGCGACGAUGCGUAGCCGACCUGAGAGGGUGAUCGGCCACAUUGGGACUGAGACACGGCCCAGACUCCUACGGGAGGCAGCAUG